CCCAAAAAAAUUGUUUCUGUUGCAAACAUUACUAGCUUAUAAUUAUAUUUGUAGGAUAUGAAUAAUAGAUUUAGAUAUAUUAUCUAAGUUGUUCUGAUUGCAUCUCUCUUGUUUAGUUUGGUAGUUUUCUUGUAUCUUGCAGCAAGUUACCGUUAAUUUCUCUUAAUUAUGAACCCCCAAGUUACAUCACUAGUCCUGGUUUGAACUUCUUCAUACUUAAUAACAUUUUUGCGGCACACUACCAAUUUUGUCUGCUAUGUAGAACCAACUCAUUUAAAACCAUAGAAGCGUCAUUAAGAGUUGACGCAUUAGCAAGUUUUGGGUUCAAAAUAUAUCCACAGUUUUGGCUUAUGAUGCAAAAAAUCUUAAAGCUCUUUAUCGAAGAGGUCAAGCUUCCAAGGAACUUGGUCUGCUAAAGGAUGCUGUUGAUGAUUGAGCAUAGCAUGUGAAGAUUGUCCAGUAGUGUCAAGUUCUUGUGACAGCCAUGAGGACUGGUGGUGAGAGCAGGUGAUGAAGUUGAAGUUUAAGCACCAAAAGAUAGCCAUAAGACUUAUAUGACACAAGUAUCAGCUAUUAAGUUUGUGGUUUUACUUGUAUUAGAUACUUUUAUGUUAUUUUAGUAUGAUUUGACUUUAUUAUUGUGACUUUUGAGUACUUGCAUAACACUUGUUAUUAGUGUAUAUUGAGAUUUGGAUUAUUGUGCUUUUAUUUAUAAAUUAUUCUUUGAGCAUGUAAUUAUAUAAUGAUAAUAAGUAUAGGGCAUUUUUUGUUGGA
Neltuma alba is the source of this 774-nucleotide long non-coding RNA. RefSeq lists it as uncharacterized. Lineage: Eukaryota; Viridiplantae; Streptophyta; Magnoliopsida; Fabales; Fabaceae. The record is from RefSeq and is a predicted model, not a curated record. The transcript is spliced from 3 exons.